This 420-nucleotide unclassified non-coding RNA is filed under the name fungal sp. RNAcentral describes it as "partial internal transcribed spacer region". The stretch from base 1 to 46 matches the Rfam family "Eukaryotic small subunit ribosomal RNA", at positions 1786 to 1831 of the family's 1831-position model. Lineage: Eukaryota; Fungi. The record is from RNAcentral.
AAGUCGUAACAAGGUUUCCGUAGGUGAACCUGCGGAAGGAUCAUUAACACGUAUCCACGUUAUCAAACCAAUGAGAACCGUUUUCCCGUCUCCCUGCUGCAUGAAAUGAAUUGGAACCAGUUUGAGGGGGUGAUGGGACCGAUAAGGUCGACCUUCCUGGCACACUGAUGUUUAAUUCCGUUUAUUCGGAUGAGGGCAUCGACAAUUGUAUUUAUGUUCUGCAGGCUAAUUCUUUAUCGCUUUGAUCCCCUCACGAUCGUGGCGGUAGGGAAGCCCUUCAAACUACAUUUACCCCCUUUUUGCUAGUUGACUUUUUAUAUGUGUUGUGGGUUCGAUUGCUUCAUUGCAACGGCUCUCGGCACACGUUUAUUAAUUGAACGUUAAAAAAUACAACUCUUAGCAAUGGAUAUCUUGGUUCUC